Molecule: ribosomal RNA, 189 nt
Filed under: uncultured Flavobacterium sp.
Lineage: Bacteria; Pseudomonadati; Bacteroidota; Flavobacteriia; Flavobacteriales; Flavobacteriaceae
Description: partial 16S ribosomal RNA
Rfam family: Bacterial small subunit ribosomal RNA
Source: RNAcentral
CCUACGGGAGGCAGCAGUGAGGAAUAUUGGACAAUGGGCGCAAGCAUGAUCCAACCAUGCCGCGUGCAGGAAGACUGCCCUAUGGGUUGUAAACUGGUUUUAUACAGGAAGAAACACUCCCUCGUGAGGGAGCUUGCCGGUACUGUAAGAAUAAGGAUCGGCUAACUCCGUGCCAGCAGCCGCGGUAAU